CGUAGGGUGCAAGCGUUAUCCGGAAUUAUUGGGCGUAAAGGGCUCGUAGGCGGUUCGUCGCGUCCGGUGUGAAAGUCCAUCGCUUAACGGUGGAUCUGCGCCGGGUACGGGCGGGCUGGAGUGCGGUAGGGGAGACUGGAAUUCCCGGUGUAACGGUGGAAUGUGUAGAUAUCGGGAAGAACACCAAUGGCGAAGGCAGGUCUCUGGGCCGUUACUGACGCUGAGGAGCGAAAGCGUGGGGAGCGAACAGGAUU
This 254-nucleotide ribosomal RNA is filed under the name uncultured bacterium. RNAcentral's name for it is "partial 16S ribosomal RNA". It matches the Rfam family "Bacterial small subunit ribosomal RNA", at positions 526 to 779 of the family's 1533-position model. The record is from RNAcentral.